Schistocerca cancellata (South American locust) is the source of this 73-nucleotide non-coding RNA. NCBI's taxonomy places the organism in Eukaryota, Metazoa, Arthropoda, Insecta, Orthoptera, Acrididae. The record is from the annotation of a RefSeq genome assembly.
UCCCGGCUAGCUCAUUUGGUAGAGCAUGAGACUCUUAAUCUCAUGGUUGUGAGUUCGAGCCCCACAUUGGGUG